UACAGAGGUCCCAAGCGUUGUUCGGAUUCACUGGGCGUAAAGGGUGCGUAGGUGGUGAGGUAAGUUUGAUGUGAAAUCUCCGGGCUCAACCCGGAAAUGGCAUUGAAUACUAUCUUGCUAGAGGAGUGGAGGGGGGACUGGAAUACUUGGUGUAGCAGUGAAAUGCGUAGAUAUCAAGUGGAACACCAGUGGCGAAGGCGACUACCUGGCCUGUUCUUGACGCUGAGGCGCGAAAGCUAGGGGAGCAAACGGG
This 253-nucleotide ribosomal RNA is filed under the name uncultured bacterium. Its description in RNAcentral is "partial 16S ribosomal RNA". It matches the Rfam family "Bacterial small subunit ribosomal RNA", at positions 524 to 776 of the family's 1533-position model. The record is from RNAcentral.